RNAcentral lists this ribosomal RNA (497 nucleotides) under uncultured bacterium. RNAcentral describes it as "partial 16S ribosomal RNA". It matches the Rfam family "Bacterial small subunit ribosomal RNA", at positions 28 to 507 of the family's 1533-position model. The record is from RNAcentral.
GACGAACGCUGGCGGCGUGCCUAAUACAUGCAAGUUGAGCGAUGAAGCUUGGUGCUUGCACCAAUUUGAAGAGCAGCGAACGGGUGAGUAACGCGUGGGGAAUCUGCCUUUGAGCGGGGGACAACAUUUGGAAACGAAUGCUAAUACCGCAUAACAACUUUAAACAUAAGUUUUAAGUUUGAAAGAUGCAAUUGCAUCACUCAAAGAUGAUCCCGCGUUGUAUUAGCUAGUUGGUGAGGUAAAGGCUCACCAAGGCGAUGAUACAUAGCCGACCUGAGAGGGUGAUCGGCCACAUUGGGACUGAGACACGGCCCAAACUCCUACGGGAGGCAGCAGUAGGGAAUCUUCGGCAAUGGACGAAAGUCUGACCGAGCAACGCCGCGUGAGUGAAGAAGGUUUUCGGAUCGUAAAACUCUGUUGGUAGAGAAGAACGGUGGUGAGAGUGGAAAGCUCAUCAAGUGACGGUAACUACCCAGAAAGGGACGGCUAACUACGUG